Molecule: microRNA precursor, 87 nt
Organism: Nomascus leucogenys (northern white-cheeked gibbon)
Lineage: Eukaryota; Metazoa; Chordata; Mammalia; Primates; Hylobatidae
Rfam family: mir-515 microRNA precursor family
Source: Rfam
UGUCAUGCUGUGACCCUCCAGAGGGAAGCACUUUCUGUUGUCUCAAAGAAAACAAAGCGCUCCCCUUUAGAGGUUUACGGUUUGAGU